GACGAACGCUGGCGGCGUGCCUAAUACAUGCAAGUAGAACGCAGUUGCGAACGGGUGAGUAACGCGUAGGUCACUGCCUGGUAGCGGGGGAUAACUAUUGGAAACGAUAGCUAAUACCGCAUACUACCAGAUGGACCUGCGUUGUAUUAGCUAGUAGGUAAGGUAAUGGCUUACCUAGGCGACGAUCCCUAGCUGGUCUGAGAGGAUUAUGAGCGACACUGGGACUGAGACACGGGCCAGACUCCUACGGGAGGCAGCAGUGGGGAAUAUUGCACAAUGGGCGCAAGCCUGAUGCAGCCAUGCCGCGUGGAUGAAGAAGGCCCUAGGGGUGUAAAGUACUUGCAGGUGGGAGGCGUUACCGACAGAAGAAGCACCGGCUAACUCCGUGCCAGCAGCCGCGGUAAUAC
Molecule: ribosomal RNA, 407 nt
Filed under: uncultured bacterium
Lineage: Bacteria
Description: partial 16S ribosomal RNA
Rfam family: Bacterial small subunit ribosomal RNA
Source: RNAcentral